AGAGGGUGCAAACGUUGCUCGGAGUUACUGGGCGUAAAGCGCGUGUAGGCGGUGCCGCACGUCCGGUGUGAAAGCCCAGGGCUCAACCCUGGAAGUGCACUGGAUACGACGGCGCUGGAGUCCUGAAGAGGAGGGCGGAAUUCCCGGUGUAGAGGUGAAAUUCGUAGAUAUCGGGAGGAACACCAGUGGCGAAGGCGGCUCUCUGGACAGGUACUGACGCUGAGGCGCGAAAGCGUGGGGAGCAAACAGGAUUAGAUACCCUGGUAGUCCACGCUGUAAACGAUGGGCACUCGGUGCUGCGGGUAUCGACCCCUGCGGUGCCUGAGCUAACGCGUUAAGUGCCCCGCCUGGGGAGUACGGUCGCAAGGCUG
This 371-nucleotide ribosomal RNA is filed under the name uncultured bacterium. Its description in RNAcentral is "bacterial SSU rRNA". It matches the Rfam family "Bacterial small subunit ribosomal RNA", at positions 527 to 896 of the family's 1533-position model. The record is from RNAcentral.